ACGGGAGGCAGCAGUAAGGAAUAUUGGUCAAUGGACGAAAGUCUGAACCAGCCAUGCCGCGUGGAGGAUGAAGGUCCUCUGGAUUGUAAACUUCUUUUAUAUGGGACGAAAAAAGGCUUUUCUAAGUCGUCUGACGGUACCAUAUGAAUAAGCACCGGCUAACUCCGUGCCAGCAGCCGCGGUAAUACGGAGGGUGCAAGCGUUAUCCGGAUUCACUGGGUUUAAAGGGUGCGUAGGUGGGUUGGUAAGUCAGUGGUGAAAUCCCCGAGCUUAACUUGGGAACUGCCAUUGAUACUAUCAGUCUUGAAUAUCGUGGAGGUUAGCGGAAUAUGUCAUGUAGCGGUGAAAUGCUUAGAUAUGACAUAGAACACCAAUUGCGAAGGCAGCUGGCUACACGAAUAUUGACACUGAGGCACGAAAGCGUGGGGAUCAAACAGGAUUAGAUACCCUGGUA
This 454-nucleotide ribosomal RNA is filed under the name uncultured Saprospirales bacterium. Its description in RNAcentral is "bacterial SSU rRNA". It matches the Rfam family "Bacterial small subunit ribosomal RNA", at positions 341 to 792 of the family's 1533-position model. The record is from RNAcentral. Lineage: Bacteria; Pseudomonadati; Bacteroidota; Saprospiria; Saprospirales.